Camelina sativa (false flax) is the source of this 624-nucleotide non-coding RNA. The record is from RefSeq and is a predicted model, not a curated record. Lineage: Eukaryota; Viridiplantae; Streptophyta; Magnoliopsida; Brassicales; Brassicaceae.
UCCGUGUUUCACCGGCGAGAGAGACCAUGGAGAGAGAGAAUUAAAGCAUUGACGGUGUCUAUCACGGUUAACACGGCGGCGGCAACUAGAUGGACGCUGAUUCUUGCCGGAGAGAGAAACCCAACUUUGAUUACCCUCAAAGCGAAUCACUUGCUAACGAUGGUGUUGGGGAAGCUGGUGGCAAUAGUAGAGAUCCGAGCCGUGGUGAGACUAUGUGGUUAGGAGGUCUAGCUUGUAGCGAUAGGGACUAAUACCACCGCCACGCAGCGCCGGAUAUGAAAGGUUGCGACUCCUAAGCCCGAUAAAGUGGGAUGGAAGAGAGUAGUGAGGAUAUUUGCCAAGCAGCUUCUGAUUUAAACUCAAGGUUGCAUUACCACUAAGGAGCUGGGGAUUGUGAUGUGUUGUUCUCUUGGAAAAAACCCAACCGAAGCAGAGCUUCAAGACAUGAUUAAUGAAGUGGAUGUGGAUGGUAAUGGUACCAUUGAUUUCCUUGAGGUCUUGAAAUUGCUGCUGAGUAUGGCUAUAUUCUAAGUAAUUGCAGAGCAUGUGAUGGAACUUUAAACCAAGAUGACUAAUGGAUCAACAAUCAAAAAGACAAGGAGACUGCUCUUGUUUGGAGUUACA